GACGAACGCUGGCGGCGUGCUUAACACAUGCAAGUCGAACGGAAAGGCCCUGCUUGCAGGGUACUCGAGUGGCGAACGGGUGAGUAACACGUGGGUGAUCUGCCCUGCACUUCGGGAUAAGCCUGGGAAACUGGGUCUAAUACCGGAUAGGAGCCAUUUUUAGUGUGAUGGUUGGAAAGUUUUUUCGGUGUAGGAUGAGCUCGCGGCCUAUCAGCUUGUUGGUGGGGUAAUGGCCUACCAAGGCGGCGACGGGUAGCCGGCCUGAGAGGGUGGACGGCCACAUUGGGACUGAGAUACGGCCCAGACUCCCACGGGGGGCAACAGGUGGGAAUAUUGCACAAUGGGCGCAAGCCUGAUGCAGCGACGCCGCGGUGGGGAUGACGGCCUUCGGGUUGUAAACUCCUUUCGCUAGGGACGAAGCUUUUUGUGACGGUACCUAGAUAAGAAGCACCGGCUAACUACGUG
RNAcentral lists this ribosomal RNA (465 nucleotides) under uncultured bacterium. RNAcentral describes it as "partial 16S ribosomal RNA". It matches the Rfam family "Bacterial small subunit ribosomal RNA", at positions 28 to 507 of the family's 1533-position model. The record is from RNAcentral.